RNAcentral lists this long non-coding RNA (327 nucleotides) under Carica papaya (papaya). RNAcentral describes it as "long non-coding RNA (CPAP_LNC011171)". The record is from RNAcentral. Lineage: Eukaryota; Viridiplantae; Streptophyta; Magnoliopsida; Brassicales; Caricaceae.
UUGACCAGAGCAAAACACCCAACCGCGACGUAAGCCGGAGGAACCGCCGCACCGGAAAGCCCCACUGCUGGUAAGUUUCAAUUUUUUGGGCCCACCGAGGGCCCUAAGUGUGUUUUCUCACAGGAACCGAUGCAAGUUUGGCUAAAUUCGGCCGGAAACAGCCAAAAACAGCCAACCCAGGGCGGAUUGCCCCUGCGAGCAACGACACCAUCGCCGGAGCCGCCGUGCCAAAGUUCCAAAAUCGGUCGAGUAGGCCCUAGGUAUGAUUUUUGGGUUAUUUAGCCGCCGUGCCAUAGUUCCAAAAUUGGUCGAGUAGGCCCUGGGUCU